Amphimedon queenslandica is the source of this 308-nucleotide long non-coding RNA. RefSeq lists it as uncharacterized. The record is from RefSeq and is a predicted model, not a curated record. The transcript is spliced from 3 exons. Lineage: Eukaryota; Metazoa; Porifera; Demospongiae; Haplosclerida; Niphatidae.
UCGGCACCAGCUUGACCUCAUCGUGGUGAAGGGGUGGCAACAGUUAGGACACAUUGUCCAUACUGGCUAACAAAGCUGUGGGCAAUAUGUUUACUUCACACAGAGUUGCAGCACUGUUUAAUAUCAAACUGGAAGUGACUAGUUCUUUGUGGACAAUAUCAACAGUACAAGGAAGUUGAUGUUAGGGUGGAUCUUAUUAUGGUUCUUAUUACUGAUCCAAUAUCACUGACAGUACACCAUGUAUCAAAAGGAGAAACAUUGCACAAGCACAUAGGACAAGCAGAGCACUAAAUAUUAUUAUUUGUAUA